RNAcentral lists this small RNA (164 nucleotides) under uncultured Entomomonas sp. RNAcentral describes it as "Pseudomonas sRNA P27". It matches the Rfam family "Pseudomonas sRNA P27", at positions 2 to 165 of the family's 192-position model. Lineage: Bacteria; Pseudomonadati; Pseudomonadota; Gammaproteobacteria; Pseudomonadales; Pseudomonadaceae. The record is from RNAcentral.
GGGUUCACUCCUGGAAUUUCCAUUAACCUUAAUAGUUAUCUAUUAAGUAGUUUUGGUGUCUGAUUCAUUAGAAUCGGGAGCACCAUCUGCGUAGGCUUAUAAAAUUAAGGGUUUAACCACCUACGGUCUUGGAUAGCCCCCGCCAGGCAGGGACCCCAAUUUGA